RNAcentral lists this ribosomal RNA (223 nucleotides) under uncultured bacterium. RNAcentral's name for it is "partial 16S ribosomal RNA". It matches the Rfam family "Bacterial small subunit ribosomal RNA", at positions 29 to 270 of the family's 1533-position model. The record is from RNAcentral.
AACGAACGCUGGCGGCAUGCCUAACACAUGCAAGUCGAACGGGAUCCAGGCUUCGGCCUGGUGAGAGUGGCGGACGGGUGAGUAACGCGUGGGAACCUGCCCAAUGGGUCUGGGAUAACCGCGGGAAACUGCGGCUAAUACCGGAUAAGCCCGAGAGGGAAGAUUAUCGCCGAUGGAGGGCCCGCGUCAGAUUAGGUAGUUGGUGGGGUAAGUGGGCCUACCC